Molecule: transfer RNA, 90 nt
Filed under: Actinomycetaceae bacterium
Lineage: Bacteria; Bacillati; Actinomycetota; Actinomycetes; Actinomycetales; Actinomycetaceae
Description: tRNA-Ser
Rfam family: tRNA
About the family: Transfer RNA (tRNA) molecules are approximately 80 nucleotides in length.
Source: RNAcentral
GGAGAUGUCGCAUAGUGGCCUAGUGCGCCUCCCUGCUAAGGAGGUUGGGGCGUUCGCCCCUCGAGGGUUCAAAUCCCUCCAUCUCCGCCA